Long non-coding RNA from Nycticebus coucang (slow loris), 566 nucleotides. RefSeq lists it as uncharacterized. NCBI's taxonomy places the organism in Eukaryota, Metazoa, Chordata, Mammalia, Primates, Lorisidae. The record is from RefSeq and is a predicted model, not a curated record. The transcript has 4 exons.
AUUGCAUCGGAACUGAGUAAAUUGAGAAAUACAGCAAACAUUUCAAAAGAACGCUGAUAAAAUUACCAGGCAGACCAAUGAAUCACUCUCAAUACAUAGAGCAAUUCCUGAAGAUGUGGGACACCAAGGAGCCAGAACUAAAGAGCUGGCCACAUCUGUAAACAGGAGCGCUGUGAGCACGCUGGCAGAUGUGGCAGGGGGUUGAGCUGGAAGCUGCUCGACACGUCGACUGGCCUGUCCGGGGUCAACGCCACAUUGCGAGAGACAAACAAGCUCCUGCAUGACUCGAACCUGACCACUCUGUUAGUGGAAAGAAAAAAGAUGUGGAAACACAAGCCAACCUUCUAUUUGAUCAGUUGAAACCUUUGAAGAUUUUAGAAGAGAAUCUGAACAGAAACCUUUCCGAAAUUAAACUGCUGAUCAGCCAGGCCCGGAAACAAGCAGCUUCUAAAUCUCCUGUCGUGAAGGUAACCAUUUCAGAGACUGCAUGGGAGAAGCUUUCUUAAAUGGAAAAUCCAUCAGCCUGUGGAACCACCUAGAAAGGGAGGGUAAAUGUCACGGCUGCU